AUACAGAGGGUGCGAGCGUUAAUCGGAAUUACUGGGCGUAAAGCGCGCGUAGGCGGCUUAUUAAGUCAGAUGUGAAAUCCCCGGGCUCAACCUGGGAACUGCAUCUGAUACUGGUAAGCUAGAGUUUUGGAGAGGGAAGUAGAAUUUCAGGCGUAGCGGUGAAAUGCAUAGAGAUCUGAAGGAAUACCAGUGGCGAAGGCGACUUCCUGGCCAAAAACUGACGCUGAGGUGCGAAAGCGUGGGUAGCAAACGGGAUUAGAAACCCCGGUAGUCC
Molecule: ribosomal RNA, 274 nt
Filed under: uncultured bacterium
Lineage: Bacteria
Description: partial 16S ribosomal RNA
Rfam family: Bacterial small subunit ribosomal RNA
Source: RNAcentral